AGGUGGUGCAUGGUUGUCGUCAGCUCGUGUCGUGAGAUGUUGGGUUAAGUCCCGCAACGAGCGCAACCCUCGACCUUAGUUGCCAGCAUUCAGUUGGGCACUCUAAGGUGACUGCCGGCUAAAAGUCGGAGGAAGGUGGGGAUGACGUCAAAUCAUCAUGCCCCUUAUGACCUGGGCUACACACGUGCUACAAUGGGCGGUACAAAGGGUCGCGAACCCGCGAGGGGGGAGCCAAUCCCAAAAAGCCGCUCUCAGUUCGGAUUGCAGGCUGCAACUCGCCUGCAUGAAGCCGGAAUCGCUAGUAAUCGCGGAUCAGCAUGCCGCGGUGAAUACGUUCCCGGGCCUU
Molecule: ribosomal RNA, 346 nt
Filed under: uncultured Anoxybacillus sp.
Lineage: Bacteria; Bacillati; Bacillota; Bacilli; Caryophanales; Anoxybacillaceae
Description: bacterial SSU rRNA
Rfam family: Bacterial small subunit ribosomal RNA
Source: RNAcentral